GCAACAUAUUGGUGGGGUGAGGAUACUUGACGGGUUGAAGUUGUUGAGGGUUCUCAAAUUGAAGAGACUUGUCGUUGAGAGGUUUCCCAAAGAGAUUGAGGUGAUGACUCACCUGAGAUACUUGUUCUUUUCCGUUCCUGUAAAAGAAAUUUCAUCAUCCAUUGGAAAAUUUAGAUACUUGCAAACCUUGGACCUUAGGUCUGUCAAUUAUGAG
This 214-nucleotide unclassified non-coding RNA is filed under the name Hevea brasiliensis (rubber tree). Lineage: Eukaryota; Viridiplantae; Streptophyta; Magnoliopsida; Malpighiales; Euphorbiaceae. The record is from RNAcentral.